GCAUUAGUAGCUUAACAUAAGAGCGCCGGCCUUGUAAGCCGGAGGCUGAGGGUUAAAAUCCCUCCUCAUGCU
This 72-nucleotide transfer RNA is filed under the name Strongylura anastomella. Its description in RNAcentral is "tRNA-Thr". It matches the Rfam family "tRNA". Rfam says of the family: Transfer RNA (tRNA) molecules are approximately 80 nucleotides in length. Lineage: Eukaryota; Metazoa; Chordata; Actinopteri; Beloniformes; Belonidae. The record is from RNAcentral.